RNAcentral lists this ribosomal RNA (440 nucleotides) under uncultured bacterium. Its description in RNAcentral is "partial 16S ribosomal RNA". It matches the Rfam family "Bacterial small subunit ribosomal RNA", at positions 338 to 795 of the family's 1533-position model. The record is from RNAcentral.
CCUACGGGUGGCUGCAGUGGGGAAUAUUGGACAAUGGGGGGAACCCUGAUCCAGCGACGCCGCGUGAGUGAAGAAGUAUUUCGGUAUGUAAAGCUCUAUCAGCAGGGAAGAAAAUGACGGUACCUGACUAAGAAGCCCCGGCUAACUCCGUGCCAGCAGCCGCGGUAAUACGGAGGAUCCGAGCGUUAUCCGGAUUCAUUGGGUUUAAAGGGUGCGUAGGUUGUUUUAUAAGUUAGCGGUGAAAUACCGAUGCUCAACAUCGGGGCUGCCGCUAAUACGGUAGGACUAGAGAUCGGAUGCAGCAGGCGGAAGGUGUAGUGUAGCGGUGAAAUGCAUAGAUAUUACACAGAACACCGAUUGCGAAGGCAGCUUGCUAGGCCGGAUCUGACACUGAUGCACGAAAGCGUGGGGAUCGAACAGGAUUAGAUACCCGAGUAGUC